RNAcentral lists this ribosomal RNA (253 nucleotides) under Minicystis sp. RNAcentral's name for it is "partial 16S ribosomal RNA". It matches the Rfam family "Bacterial small subunit ribosomal RNA", at positions 524 to 776 of the family's 1533-position model. Lineage: Bacteria; Pseudomonadati; Myxococcota; Polyangiales; Polyangiaceae. RNAcentral also lists the same sequence under 1 other name. The record is from RNAcentral.
GACAGAGGGUGCAAACGUUGUUCGGAAUUACUGGGCGUAAAGCGCGUGUAGGCAGCUUCGCAAGUCGGGUGUGAAAGCCCUGGGCUCAACCUAGGAAGUGCACUCGAAACUGCGGAGCUUGAGUCUCGGAGAGGAUCGCGGAAUUCUCGGUGUAGAGGUGAAAUUCGUAGAUAUCGAGAGGAACACCGGUGGCGAAGGCGGCGAUCUGGACGAUGACUGACGCUGAGACGCGAAAGCGUGGGGAGCAAACAGG